RNAcentral lists this ribosomal RNA (252 nucleotides) under uncultured bacterium. RNAcentral's name for it is "partial 16S ribosomal RNA". It matches the Rfam family "Bacterial small subunit ribosomal RNA", at positions 524 to 776 of the family's 1533-position model. The record is from RNAcentral.
UGCGGAGGAUGCGAGCGUUAUCCGGAUUUAUUGGGUUUAAAGGGUGCGCAGGCGGCACGGCAAGCCGGCGGUCAAAUCGCGGGGCUCAACCCCGCCCAGCCGUCGGAACUGCCGGGCUAGAGUGGGCGAGAAGUGCGCGGAAUGCGUGGUGUAGCGGUGAAAUGCAUAGAUAUCACGCAGAACUCCGAUUGCGAAGGCAGCGCACCGGCGCCCUACUGACGCUCAGGCACGAAAGCGUGGGGAGCAAACAGG